GAGUUUGAUCAUGGCUCAGGACGAACGCUGGCGGCGUGCGUAAUACAUGCAAGUCGAGCGGACCUUCGGGUCAGCGGCGGACGGGUGAGGAACACGUGAGUCAUCUGUCGGUGGGUGGGGGAUAUCGGGCCGAAAGGCGCGGCAAUCCCGCAUACGUUCCUUCGGGAAGAAAGCUGGGCAACUGGCGCCCGCCGGGGAGCUCGCGGCCCAUUAGCUAGUUGGUAGGGUAACAGCCUCCCAAGGCGACGAUGGGUAGCCGGCCUGAGAGGGUGAACGGCCACACUGGGACUGAGACACGGCCCAGACUCCUACGGGAGGCAGCAGUAGGGAAUCUUCCACAAUGGGCGCAAGCCUGAUGGAGCAACGCCGCGUGAGUGAAGACGGCCUUCGGGUUGUAAAGCUCUGUCUGUCGGGACGAAGACCGGGACGGGAGUCCCGGGGAGCCGGUACCGACGAAGGAAGCCCCUGCAAACUACGUGCCAGCAGCCGCGGUAAGACGUAAGGGGCAAGCGUUGUCCGGAAUUACUGGGCGUAAAGGGCGAGUAGGCGGUGCGAUACGUAGCGG
RNAcentral lists this ribosomal RNA (565 nucleotides) under uncultured bacterium. Its description in RNAcentral is "bacterial SSU rRNA". It matches the Rfam family "Bacterial small subunit ribosomal RNA", at positions 9 to 593 of the family's 1533-position model. The record is from RNAcentral.